RNAcentral lists this ribosomal RNA (253 nucleotides) under uncultured bacterium. Its description in RNAcentral is "partial 16S ribosomal RNA". It matches the Rfam family "Bacterial small subunit ribosomal RNA", at positions 524 to 776 of the family's 1533-position model. The record is from RNAcentral.
UACGUAGGAUGCAAGCGUUGUCCGGAUUUACUGGGCGUAAAGCGCGCGCAGGCGGCACUCUAAGUACGUCGUGAAAUCUACCUGCUCAACGGGUAGGGUGCGAUGUAGACUAGGGAGCUUGAGGUCGGUAGAGGGGGGUGGAAUUGCUGGUGUAGCGGUGAAAUGCGUAGAGAUCAGCAGGAACACCCGUGGCGAAGGCGGCCCCCUGGGCCGUACCUGACGCUGAGGCGCGAAGGCUAGGGGAGCGAACGGG